CUUUGGUGAAAACUACGGAGACGAUGAAGCUUCAAACCUCCCCCCUUUCGCCUCUUCAAAAGGGUUUGAAUAGGUAUCUUUGGGUGUUACAAGAAGUUACUCUGCAAAGUUCCUUUUGGUGCUCAGAAAUUUAAGUGGCCUUUUUGAUGCUAGAAUCGGAACGUGAAGAUUGGAGGUGAGGGAACGUGAAGCUAGUUGAUCCGUUGGACUAUUGCCUUGUUGGGAAACAUUUCUCAGGACAUCCAUGGCUUUAGCAACUUUAGCCUUGAGAGCAUCAGGUGAUUCUAUCGAAUGCAAAACUUCAGGCUGAUCCAUCUCCAAAAGCAUGCCGGUAACCUCCCUGCGGCACCGACGAGCAGAUGAACUGGUUGAGGAAUGAUUUCGGUUAUCACAGGGGUGAAGAAAAACCUUUUUCUCCAGAGGAAAUAUUAUCUAUGAUCCUCGCAAACAUGCGGGAAAACGCAGAGAGACUUUGGAGACACCUAUCAAAAAUGCAGUGAUUACAGUUCCGGCCUAUUUCAAAGAUUCUCAGCGAAAAGCCAAUAUAAAUACUGGUGUUAUUGCAGGCUUGAAUGCAGAUGAUCAAUGAACCAACUGCUGCUACCCUUGCAUAUGGCCAAUGUUGCCAUCUUAACAUGUCGUGAGCAAGUGGUGCUAGCCAUUCCAAGUCUAAAAUCUGUGGGCUCAUCUUCAGUUGAAAGCCAACUGUCCCACCCAACUGCCGAUUUGGUUGAAAGCUUACUGUCUCACUUGGUUUCUGAUUAGUUAGACGAUCCCAGCCCAUAAUGUGCGGCAAUGCAAAACUGCAAGCUGUCUUCAUCACAGAGAACUCAGCAGUUGUAACAGGAACACUGAAAUUCCUUUUUCAAAACUGCUGUGUCGAUCUUUUUGUGGCGGUUAAAUCCAAGGGCUUCAUAAUGAUUCAGACUCUUCAAUAUCCUUCUCAUUUCAUCAAUUUAAUUUGUUUGCUCUCUAACAACUUUAUUGACCAAAAGUUCUUUCUGCUUAUCAACAACUGAUACAGUGACUGCAGGUUGUGGUGGUCACAAUGUCACAAAACUCAAAGAUGUCGGCAAGCACAGAUGCAGCAACGAGUCCGCUUAUGUGAGCCAUAUCCAUCAUAAGGAAGGCACCUAUGCUACCUGCAAUUUUUUUCUAGAGCGGGGAUAAUCAAUGUCUCGAGGGUGAGCACUAACUCCAGGAGUGUUUGCCGUUUUCUGGCCAACAGCUGCCAAAAUGCUACAAUUUGGGAUAAUUGCAACCUGAGAAAGACGCCCAUUAUCCAAAGCUUGACGAAAUCUUGAUUGCAAUGCCUCGGCAACAGCUUUUACUUUCGUCUCGGGGACAGCAAAGCAUACAGAAUGCUCACUACUAGCCUGGAACACCGGCCAUUCCAGUUCCCUCAACAUUUACAAGUGCCAAGUUGUCUAUUGUUGCAAAUCCUUUGACUAAAUUUUGCAGGUUGUUAUAGCAGAACUUGUUGUGUUUGAUGUUGUCUGCUGAUGAGGAUUGUUGCAGGUUAUGGUUAGUCAUUUCAGUGUAACAAGCCCCACAAAGCUCCCUGUUACCAGAAGUACCAGGUGGAACACACUUGCACCUCACACAACAAGUUCCACAUGAUAUGUUACACAAGUUAGGCCUUGAAUGUACACCGCAUCUCGAACCGCACAAACCUCCACAAUCUAUGUCUUGCAUUAGCCUUCUAUUGCCGUCUCGCACAGUAAGCAACUCAUUAGGUAGCUGAAGUUCUUCAUCAUCUUCUUUUUUCAUUUCUAUCUCAUGCUCAGAUGAAACCUGCAUCAGAUUAGAGAGGCAUACUAGAAGCAACAAACCCAGCACGAAAAGAUUAUGCCAACUUUGCGGUCCUGAUCCGGUUGUUACGCAUUGCAGACCGGCGCCAGCAUACAACUAGCGGGCAAUGUUGUUCUGCAGCAUGUUGGCUUCCUGAAUAAAGCAGAAUUUAUGAUAGGCUCGUGGUUGAUUAGAUUGAUGCAUUGCAAACUGGUUUUGGCUCGUAAACGGCUUGUUGAGUAUGGCCAUGGUUAGGAUUGGUAGCUCUGAAUUUGGUAGGCGGCAAAGUUGCAAGAUUUAGGAUUAUUUGUGUUAGCUUUUUGGAUUAACAGUGUACACAUUUUGAAUAGAAACUUCAGGUUUUUUUUGCCAAAACUUAUU
This is a long non-coding RNA of Lathyrus oleraceus (garden pea), 2172 nucleotides long. RefSeq lists it as uncharacterized. The record is from RefSeq and is a predicted model, not a curated record. The transcript has 7 exons. Lineage: Eukaryota; Viridiplantae; Streptophyta; Magnoliopsida; Fabales; Fabaceae.